This 501-nucleotide ribosomal RNA is filed under the name uncultured bacterium. Its description in RNAcentral is "partial 16S ribosomal RNA". It matches the Rfam family "Bacterial small subunit ribosomal RNA", at positions 30 to 523 of the family's 1533-position model. The record is from RNAcentral.
AUUGAACGCUGGCGGCAGGCUUAACACAUGCAAGUCGAGCGGGGGAAGGUAGCUUGCUACCGGACCUAGCGGCGGACGGGUGAGUAAUGCUUAGGAAUCUGCCUAUUAGUGGGGGACAACAUCUCGAAAGGGAUGCUAAUACCGCAUACGUCCUACGGGAGAAAGCAGGGGAUCUUCGGACCUUGCGCUAAUAGAUGAGCCUAAGUCGGAUUAGCUAGUUGGUGGGGUAAAGGCCUACCAAGGCGACGAUCUGUAGCGGGUCUGAGAGGAUGAGCCGCCACACUGGGAAUGAGACACGGCCCAGAAUCCUACGGGAGGCAGCAGUGGGGAAUAUUGGACAAUGGGGGGAACCCUGAUCCAGCCAUGCCGCGUGUGUGAAGAAGGCCUUAUGGUUGUAAAGCACUUUAAGCGAGGAGGAGGCUACUUUAGUUAAUACCUAGAGAUAGUGGACGUUACUCGCAGAAUAAGCACCGGCUAACUCUGUGCCAGCAGCCGCAGUAA